RNAcentral lists this ribosomal RNA (253 nucleotides) under uncultured bacterium. RNAcentral's name for it is "partial 16S ribosomal RNA". It matches the Rfam family "Bacterial small subunit ribosomal RNA", at positions 524 to 776 of the family's 1533-position model. The record is from RNAcentral.
GACAGAGGGUGCAAACGUUGCUCGGAAUUACUGGGCGUAAAGCGCGUGUAGGCGGGCCUUCAAGUCGGACGUGAAAGCCCUGAGCUCAACUCAGGAACUGCAUCCGAAACUGAAGGUCUGGAGUAGUGGAGAGGAAAGCAGAAUUCCUGGUGUAGAGGUGAAAUUCGUAGAUAUCAGGAGGAACACCGGUGGCGAAGGCGGCUUUCUGGACACUUACUGACGCUGAGACGCGAAAGCGUGGGGAGCAAACAGG